RNAcentral lists this long non-coding RNA (218 nucleotides) under Capsicum annuum. Its description in RNAcentral is "long non-coding RNA (CANN_LNC007402)". Lineage: Eukaryota; Viridiplantae; Streptophyta; Magnoliopsida; Solanales; Solanaceae. The record is from RNAcentral.
AAAGUGUAAAAUAGAUCCAAAAAGGUGUAAGACCAAGUUGUAAAGUUUGUUUGUGAGAAGACUUGAGCCAUCACUUCCUAGACUUGACAUCAACUUUUUCAACUACUAUCCUUAAAUCAAGAAGCCUUGUUUGGUGGAACUAGUACAAAUCAAGAUCAUCCUUUUUGAGAUUAAACUUACAAAGGACUCAAGACUUAUACUUUCCCUCCAAAAUCAAU